RNAcentral lists this ribosomal RNA (253 nucleotides) under uncultured bacterium. RNAcentral's name for it is "partial 16S ribosomal RNA". It matches the Rfam family "Bacterial small subunit ribosomal RNA", at positions 524 to 776 of the family's 1533-position model. The record is from RNAcentral.
UACGGAGGGCGCAAGCGUUGUUCGGAAUUACUGGGCGUAAAGGGCGUGUAGGUGGCUUGGAAAGUCGGGUGUGAAAUCCCGGAGCUCAACGCCGGAACUGCAUCCGAUACUGCCAAGCUUGAGUCUCGGAGAGGAUGGCGGAAUUUCCGGUGUAGAGGUGAAAUUCGUAGAUAUCGGAAGGAACACCAGUGGCGAAGGCGGCCGUCUGGACGAUGACUGACACUGAGACGCGAAAGCGUGGGGAGCAAACAGG